CUACGGAGCGCUGCAGUGAGGAAUAUUGCACAAUGGGGGGAACCCUGAUGCAGCAACGCCGCGUGGAGGAUGACGCAUUUCGGUGUGUAAACUCCUUUUAUAUGUCAAGAAAAUGACGGUAGCAUAUGAAUAAGCACCGGCUAACUCCGUGCCAGCAGCCGCGGUAAUACGGAGGGUGCAAGCGUUACUCGGAAUCACUGGGCGUAAAGGACGCGUAGGCGGGUUGGAAAGUCAGGUGUGAAAUCCUACAGCUUAACUGUAGAACUGCACUUGAAACUUCUAAUCUAGAGUAUGGGAGGGGGAGAUGGAAUUAGUGGUGUAGGGGUAACAUCCGUAGAUAUCACUAGGAAUACCUAAAGCGAAGGCGAUCUCCUGGAACAUUACUGACGCUAAGGCGUGAAAGCGUGGGGAGCAAACAGGAUUAGAUACCCCCGUAGUC
This 439-nucleotide ribosomal RNA is filed under the name uncultured bacterium. RNAcentral's name for it is "partial 16S ribosomal RNA". It matches the Rfam family "Bacterial small subunit ribosomal RNA", at positions 339 to 795 of the family's 1533-position model. The record is from RNAcentral.